RNAcentral lists this ribosomal RNA (1359 nucleotides) under uncultured bacterium. RNAcentral describes it as "bacterial SSU rRNA". It matches the Rfam family "Bacterial small subunit ribosomal RNA", at positions 28 to 1381 of the family's 1533-position model. The record is from RNAcentral.
GAUGAACGCUAGCUACAGGCUUAACACAUGCAAGUCGAGGGGCAGCAUUUUAGUUUGCUUGCAAACUAAAGAUGGCGACCGGCGCACGGGUGAGUAACACGUAUCCAACCUGCCGAUAACUCGGGGAUAGCCUUUCGAAAGAAAGAUUAAUAUCCGAUGGUAUAUUAAAACCGCAUGGUUUUACUAUUAAAGAAUUUCGGUUAUCGAUGGGGAUGCGUUCCAUUAGUUUGUUGGCGGGGUAACGGCCCACCAAGACUACGAUGGAUAGGGGUUCUGAGAGGAAGGUCCCCCACAUUGGAACUGAGACACGGUCCAAACUCCUACGGGAGGCAGCAGUGAGGAAUAUUGGUCAAUGGACGAGAGUCUGAACCAGCCAAGUAGCGUGAAGGAUGACUGCCCUAUGGGUUGUAAACUUCUUUUAUAUGGGAAUAAAGUAUUCCACGUGUGGGAUUUUGUAUGUACCAUAUGAAUAAGGAUCGGCUAACUCCGUGCCAGCAGCCGCGGUAAUACGGAGGAUCCGAGCGUUAUCCGGAUUUAUUGGGUUUAAAGGGAGCGUAGGUGGAUUGUUAAGUCAGUUGUGAAAGUUUGCGGCUCAACCGUAAAAUUGCAGUUGAAACUGGCAGUCUUGAGUACAGUAGAGGUGGGCGGAAUUCGUGGUGUAGCGGUGAAAUGCUUAGAUAUCACGAAGAACUCCGAUUGCGAAGGCAGCUCACUAGACUGCAACUGACACUGAUGCUCGAAAGUGUGGGUAUCAAACAGGAUUAGAUACCCUGGUAGUCCACACAGUAAACGAUGAAUACUCGCUGUUUGCGAUAUACAGUAAGCGGCCAAGCGAAAGCAUUAAGUAUUCCACCUGGGGAGUACGCCGGCAACGGUGAAACUCAAAGGAAUUGACGGGGGCCCGCACAAGCGGAGGAACAUGUGGUUUAAUUCGAUGAUACGCGAGGAACCUUACCCGGGCUUAAAUUGCAUUUGAAUAAUCUGGAAACAGGUUAGCCGUAAGGCAAAUGUGAAGGUGCUGCAUGGUUGUCGUCAGCUCGUGCCGUGAGGUGUCGGCUUAAGUGCCAUAACGAGCGCAACCCUUAUCUUUAGUUACUAACAGGUCAUGCUGAGGACUCUAGAGAGACUGCCGUCGUAAGAUGUGAGGAAGGUGGGGAUGACGUCAAAUCAGCACGGCCCUUACGUCCGGGGCUACACACGUGUUACAAUGGGGGGUACAGAAGGCAGCUACCUGGUGACAGGAUGCUAAUCCCAAAAACCUCUCUCAGUUCGGAUCGAAGUCUGCAACCCGACUUCGUGAAGCUGGAUUCGCUAGUAAUCGCGCAUCAGCCAUGGCGCGGUGAAUACGUUCCCGGGCCU